GAUCCUGGCUCGGGAUGAACGCUAGCGACAGGCUUAACACAUGCAAGUCGAGGGGCAGCAUGAUAAGUAGCAAUACUUAUUGAUGGCGACCGGCGCACGGGUGAGUAACGCGUAUGCAACUUACCUAUCAGAGGGGGAUAGCCCGGCUAAAGUCGGAUUAAUACUCCAUAAAACAGGGGUUCCGCAUGGGACUAUUUGUUAAAGAUUCAUCGCUGAUAGAUAGGCAUGCGUU
This 232-nucleotide ribosomal RNA is filed under the name uncultured bacterium. Its description in RNAcentral is "partial 16S ribosomal RNA". It matches the Rfam family "Bacterial small subunit ribosomal RNA", at positions 15 to 237 of the family's 1533-position model. The record is from RNAcentral.